CCUCUUCACCAGUAUGGCUACACCGGCAGUGCUUUGCAUCAUCUUGGGAGAAAAUGACUCAUCCAAAAUAUCCCUGCCUUCAGGAAUACCAGCUUCUGUUGAGGAACUAAAAAGUGAGAUAAAAAGACAAUAUGAGGUGUUGGAAGACUUCAGACUACAAUACAAGGACAAGGAUUUUGAUGAGUUCAUAAACCUGAAGUCUACCUCUGAGAUCCAAAGCAAAGCUAUCAUCAAAGUGAUUUACCUCCCAAGUGUUUUGCCAACAAGUAGCCUUUGCCUGUCUUCAGAGACUACUUCUAUUUCAUCAGUGGACACGGACAUCCUGUCAUCUGACUCUUCGUCGUCAUCCCUGAGAUGUGAGCCAUGGCCGGACAACUUUCCUGUGCCUGAAUUCACCUACAAUGUUGAGCUCCAACUCGAGCGUGGGAAUGCUGACUUCCAAAAUAAUGGUACCCUGCUCAGUCCAAGUCCAAAACUGAAGUCAGACAUUCUCGAAAGUUUGGCAUCCCAGAUCAUCAAAUUUAAAGCUUAUCCAUCCAGUGCUGAAUUUGAUGAUGUAGCUAAAGCACUCGUGAAGAAACACCCAUGUUUAAAGGAGCAAGGUUCUGUUUCCGGGUUUUAUGGGUGGAAGAUAAGCUUAAAAUAUAAAAUGGCAAACUAUCGCACAAUGCUGCGCAACAUUGGAUGCACUGAGCUGACUGUGAAUUCCCUCAAGCGGAAACAAGGUGAUUCACGCACAUCUCCGAAUCAAGUGAAAAAAGCGAGAAGAGCAGAAGUAAACUACUGUCCUGAUUAUCCGUCAGGACAAUCCCAGGAUAGCCUUGAGGAAGAGAGGCUGGCACUAUUGUCUGAAGUGAAAAGAGCAACAACCAUCAGGUGGUUAAGGCAAAAAUGGAAAUGACAUUUGCUUAUCGGAGACAUGAGGUGAUUGAAGACAGACCUUUCAUUGCCGAGUUCAAAAGGAGAUGGCCAGCUCUCUUCUCUGAGCAAGAGACAGAUGCCAUUGAAACAAGAAGAGCCUGCGUGCUCAAAGCACUCAUGGUCUACGUCAAUGAAGACCCUGACCACCUAAUUCGAGAGUACAUAGAUGUUGAAGACAACCAGAAGGCUAUGGACGAGACAGUCCUGGGAAUUUAUGCCAUCACUGUUGAAGGUGCAGAGCCCACAGAUUGCCUGGCAGAUGUUGGUAUAAUCAUUGAAGGAGUGAAUGUGCUCGAUGAACUUGGCAACAUCGCGAAUGCUGUUGCCAUUUUGCUUGGCCUCAUGUACUCACUUGACUUGAGCUAUCCAACAAAUCUCAAGUAUACAUUUGAAGUUCUGCAGAAGCUUGUCAUGGAACCAGAUGCCAACAAACUGUCAACAAAGGUGCAAGUGCUACAGAACAAACUCUUUGAAGGAACACCUUAGACAGGUGUUGUGUUGCUUUUUGAUCUGCAUGUUAAACUGAGGAAUGGACUCAAUGUUGCAGAUUGGAUGCCUAACUGUUUAAUGGACUUCACAAAAAGAGCAGAACAUAACUUCACCAAAGACAAAUUAGAAGUUGCAGAAGGGAUCAACAUUGACGAGUAAUGGACAAUGAGGAAUGGAGAGUGAUAACAUAACAUCAACAAAAAUUCCAAGUUCUCCAUCAAAAGAUUUGGCAAUGUUUGUGGUAAAUGCCUUCUCCUCACAGACUGUUGCGGACUAGUUGUUGUUGUUGUUUUGGUUCAUAUUUGAAUUCUAGACACCUUUUUUGCUUCACUCAGUGCUGAAGUUAGGAAGUUAUUGGAUGCCUAACUGUUGAACAGACUUUCCCAAAAGGAGCAAAACAUAACCUCAAAAAAGACAAUGACAAGAGGAGAACAGUGAGAAAUGGACAGCGAUGGGUGAAUACUGAUAAUGGUAGCACUGAGGAGAAACAAACCAGUUCAAGUUCUCUGUCGUAAGAUUUGGCAAUGUU
Long non-coding RNA from Acanthochromis polyacanthus (spiny chromis), 1939 nucleotides. RefSeq lists it as uncharacterized. NCBI's taxonomy places the organism in Eukaryota, Metazoa, Chordata, Actinopteri, Pomacentridae. The record is from RefSeq and is a predicted model, not a curated record. The transcript is spliced from 3 exons.